AAAUCAUCAAUACCCCACACCCUAACGUCGCUCGGCAUUCCCUCGGUCCCACUCCCACCUCCCACCAAAAUCAAUCGCGUGAUUUCCUCCGCCUUCAUCGCCGCCUCCUUCCCACUCCGCCACUCCCUCACAUCAGCUCCUGUGGCCGCUCCCGUCUUCGCCGCCGCCGCCCGCCGGUGCCUCCCUCCACCACCACCUGGGCCCCGCCUCCUUGCCAUUCACGAACAGGAGUUUCGGCAGCCCGCCUCCUCCACGGCCGUCCAGUCUGCCGCCCUCAACGCCGAUCACGCCGUCCAGUCCGCCCGCACCCUCCGCCGCCAUCUCCAAAAGCCCUGCCGCCGCCACGAGAUCCAGGCGAGCAUGAUGGAAGACGUGGAUGCGGCUCCAGUGGUUGAUUGGGUGGCAACGAGGAUGAACCGCAGCUGACUGCACCCAUGCACAACCGCAACCAACUAGCUAAAGGGAUGUUGGGGCUUUGGUCCUUGAGAUCAUGCAUAUUGCAAGAGAAACCUAAUCUGAGUUUCAAAAGUGGAUGGUGCAGCUGUUCCGUUUGAUUGCAAAAUGCCCGAAUAGCUUUGACUUUCAAGUGUUUGGGGUCAAGUCUGUAGUUUGCAAGGAGUGAACCUCAUUGUCCGUUCAUUGGGGAGACCUCCUCCUCCACCGCUGUCCAGUCCGCUGCCCCCAGUUCGCACGUUUGAGGGGGAACAUUGAUUUGUUCUUUAGAAAUUCAAUAAAUAGGCAUUUGUACAUGUGGCAUCCGAUGGUUAUAUGCUAUGGUCAUUUUUCAUUAAAUGUUGACUCAACUUUGUGGUAUGUUUUCAGUUUCAUUUAGCCAUUAAACUCUGGAGGAACUACAGAAUAAACUUGUAGAUGCAGAGGCCAGAAUGGAUUUGUAAGAGGCAAUGGAUUUUAGUAUUCAGUAAUCUUUGAUUUCAGGUAAAUUAAAGAUCAUUGCACAAUCAAGAAAUAUAUUUUGUGAAUGUUUGCAAU
RNAcentral lists this long non-coding RNA (990 nucleotides) under Oryza sativa Indica Group (long-grained rice). Its description in RNAcentral is "lncRNA OsLaMu_08g0002460". Lineage: Eukaryota; Viridiplantae; Streptophyta; Magnoliopsida; Poales; Poaceae. The record is from RNAcentral.